Molecule: ribosomal RNA, 843 nt
Filed under: uncultured bacterium
Lineage: Bacteria
Description: bacterial SSU rRNA
Rfam family: Bacterial small subunit ribosomal RNA
Source: RNAcentral
GUCGAACGCGUCUCCGUUGAUGAUUUCAGGUGCUUGCACCUGAAAGAUUUAACAUUGAGACGAGUGGCGAACUGGUGAGUAACACGUGGGUAACCUGCCCUUGAAGUAGGGGAUAACACUUGGAAACAGGUGCUAAUACCGUAUAACAACCAAAACCACCUGGUUUUGGUUUAAAAGACGGCUUCGGCUGUCACUUUAGGAUGGACCCGCGGCGUAUUAGCUUGUUGGUAAGGUAACGGCUUACCAAGGCGAUGAUACGUAGCCGACCUGAGAGGGUAAUCGGCCACAUUGGGACUGAGACACGGCCCAAACUCCUACGGGAGGCAGCAGUAGGGAAUCUUCCACAAUGGACGAAAGUCUGAUGGAGCAACGCCGCGUGAGUGAUGAAGGGUUUCGGCUCGUAAAACUCUGUCGUUGGAGAAGAACAGGUGUCAGAGUAACUGUUGACAUCUUGACGGUAUCCAACCAGAAAGCCACGGCUAACUACGUGCCAGCAGCCGCGGUAAUACGUAGGUGGCAAGCGUUGUCCGGAUUUAUUGGGCGUAAAGCGAGCGCAGGCGGUUUUUUAGGUCUGAUGUGAAAGCCUUCGGCUUAACCGGAGAAGUGCAUCGGAAACCGGGAGACUUGAGUGCAGAAGAGGACAGUGGAACUCCAUGUGUAGCGGUGAAAUGCGUAGAUAUAUGGAAGAACACCAGUGGCGAAGGCGGCUGUCUGGUCUGUAACUGACGCUGAGGCUCGAAAGCAUGGGUAGCGAACAGGAUUAGAUACCCUGGUAGUCCAUGCCGUANACGAUGAGUGCUAAGUGUUGGAGGGUUUCCGCCCUUCAGUGCUGCAGCUAACGCA